This 75-nucleotide transfer RNA is filed under the name Chlamydiota bacterium. RNAcentral's name for it is "Chlamydiae bacterium (groundwater metagenome) tRNA-Pro". It matches the Rfam family "tRNA". Rfam says of the family: Transfer RNA (tRNA) molecules are approximately 80 nucleotides in length. Their secondary structure includes four short double-helical elements and three loops (D, anti-codon, and T loops). The record is from RNAcentral. Lineage: Bacteria; Pseudomonadati; Chlamydiota.
CGGGAUGUGGCUCAGCCUGGCUAGAGCGCCUGGUUCGGGACCAGGAGGCCGGGAGUUCGAAUCUCCCCAUCCCGA